GCUCUCGUAGCUCAGUGGUAGAGCGUGGGAUUGCAGUCAUGUUAAGCAUUGCCAAGCCAUGCCAAGCCAAGAUCCUAAGGCCCGUUGUUCGAACCAGCGUGAGAGCU
Teratosphaeriaceae sp. CCFEE 6253 is the source of this 107-nucleotide non-coding RNA. The record is from the annotation of a GenBank genome assembly. NCBI's taxonomy places the organism in Eukaryota, Fungi, Ascomycota, Dothideomycetes, Mycosphaerellales, Teratosphaeriaceae.